UAGAGUUUNAUCAUGGCUCAGAUUGAACGCUGGCGGCAGGCCUAACACAUGCAAGUCGAGCGGUAGCACAGAGAGCUUGCUCUCGGGUGACGAGCGGCGGACGGGUGAGUAAUGUCUGGGAAACUGCCUGAUGGAGGGGGAUAACUACUGGAAACGGUAGCUAAUACCGCAUAACGUCGCAAGACCAAAGAGGGGGACCUUCGGGCCUCUUGCCAUCAGAUGUGCCCAGAUGGGAUUAGCUAGUAGGUGGGGUAAUGGCUCACCUAGGCGACGAUCCCUAGCUGGUCUGAGAGGAUGACCAGCCACACUGGAACUGAGACACGGUCCAGACUCCUACGGGAGGCAGCAGUGGGGAAUAUUGCACAAUGGGCGCAAGCCUGAUGCAGCCAUGCCGCGUGUAUGAAGAAGGCCUUCGGGUUGUAAAGUACUUUCAGCGAGGAGGAAGGCAUUGUGGUUAAUAACCNCAGUGAUUGACGUUACUCGCAGAAGAAGCACCGGCUAACUCCGUGCCAGCAGCCGCGGU
RNAcentral lists this ribosomal RNA (523 nucleotides) under uncultured bacterium. RNAcentral's name for it is "bacterial SSU rRNA". It matches the Rfam family "Bacterial small subunit ribosomal RNA", at positions 1 to 521 of the family's 1533-position model. The record is from RNAcentral.